UACGUAGGCAGCAAGCGUUGUUCGGAAUUACUGGGCGUAAAGAGUGUGUAGGCGGUGCUCUAAGUUCGGUGUGAAAUCUCCCGGCUCAACUGGGAGGGUGCGCCGGAAACUGGAAUGCUUGAACAUGGGAGAGGAAAGCGGAAUUCCUGGUGUAGCGGUGAAAUGCGUAGAUAUCAGGAGGAACACCUGCGGUGUAGACGGCUUUCUGGACCAUUGUUGACGCUGAGACACGAAAGCGUGGGUAGCAAACAGG
This 253-nucleotide ribosomal RNA is filed under the name uncultured bacterium. Its description in RNAcentral is "partial 16S ribosomal RNA". It matches the Rfam family "Bacterial small subunit ribosomal RNA", at positions 524 to 776 of the family's 1533-position model. The record is from RNAcentral.